GACGAACGCUGGCGGCGUGCUUAACACAUGCAAGUCGAACGGAGAUUCAGCAAUGGAUCUUAGUGGCGAACGGGUGAGUAACGCGUAGGCAAUCUGCCUUCUAGAUGGGGACAACAUCCCGAAAGGGGUGCUAAUACCGAAUGUUGUAGUUGGUUCGCAUGGACUAGCUACUAAAGGUGGCCUCUGAAUAUGCUACCGCUAGAAGAUGAGCCUGCGUCUGAUUAGCUAGUUGGAGGGGUAACGGCCCACCAAGGCUUCGAUCAGUAGCCGGUCUGAGAGGAUGAACGGCCACACUGGGACUGAGACACGGCCCAGGCUCCUACGGGAGGCAGCAGUGGGGAAUCUUCCGCAAUGGACGAAAGUCUGACGGAGCAACGCCGCGUGAGUGUAGAAGGUUUUCGGAUCGUAAAGCUCUUUCGUUAGGGACGAACGUGCUCUUUGUGAAUAAUGAGGAGUAAUGACGGUACCUAAAUAAGAAGCCACGGCUAACUACGUGCCAGCCGCCGCAGUAA
This 512-nucleotide ribosomal RNA is filed under the name uncultured bacterium. Its description in RNAcentral is "partial 16S ribosomal RNA". It matches the Rfam family "Bacterial small subunit ribosomal RNA", at positions 28 to 523 of the family's 1533-position model. The record is from RNAcentral.